UCAAGACAAACAGCAAAUCCGCCACCGACAAGUGCAGCCUGUAUUUGUCCGUCAUGGUGCGCACUCUUCCAUGGUAGCCCAUGAUGACCACCACCAGGCCAUUGCCCACCACCCCCAGCACAAACACCAGUGAGUAGACACACGCUCAAUCAUUUCUUCAUCAUUUUUGGGUUUAAGAUAUUUGAAGCACAUCAGCAUCCUCAAGAAAGCCCCAACGAGUUCUCAAGAUAAUUAAGGAUGGGCCAUGAAUAUGGCCACACUAGCAACACUCACAUAGAACAGUACAGUGCAGGAACAGGCCCUUCAGACCAACCAUGUCUGUGCUAACCAUGAUGCCAUUCCACAUCCCAAGAGCCAAUAAAAUCCAGACAAAUUUGCUGCAGCCAGGGGUCUAACCAUGCCUGCUGACUUCACUUCACAUGUUUAGAUUUCCACAUUUCUUUUCAGGGCUGCACCAAGUUGCUGAAACUGCAAUGUAAUUCCAGGACAAGAAGAACCACAUUUUGCGUCCUGUCCAAUCAGAUUGUGGGAUUGUGAUAUUACAAAUACAAGUGUUGCAAGGAAGCAUAGAGUUGUUAGUUCAAUACAAAUCAGGUACAAAAAGAAGAAUGAAGAGGGGGAAAGUGGUUGGACGAAUAAAGAGGUUAAUUGAAAGAGGAAAAACAAGACAAGAAAUAAAAUUGAAUCAGAGAUAGUAGGAACUGCAGAUGCUGGCGAAUCUGAGAUAACAAGGUGUAGAGCUGGAUGAACACAGCAGGCCAAGCAGCAUCAUAGGAGCAGAAAGGCUGACGUUUCGGGCCUAGAUUGCUUCAAGAAGCUACAGGCCUCAACCAAUGCUAAACAAGAAUGAUGGAGAUAGUAGGAACUGCAGAUGCUGGAGAAUCUGAGACAACAAGGUGCAGAACUGGAUGAACACAGCAGGCCAAGCAGCAUCAUAGGAGCAGAAAGGCUGACGUUUUGGGCUUUGUGAAGUUCCUCUAAAGUAUUAAAACAGCCAAGAUUAUUAUUAUAGUUUUGAAAAACUUAAAAAAAGAAAUCAACUAAGAUGUAGGACAUCUGACUCUGAAAGGUUGAAAAGUAAUCUUUCCAGAACUUCUCUAACUUUAAAGCACGAGUCGUGACAUGACAUGAGAAACUUUCUUUCCUCUUUCAGAUGCUGUGGUAUUCUGGUUUGCCCUUUACAGGAUUGCAACAUUGAAGCCUUUUUAUUUUAUGUCCUUGUCAAACACAGGGAUGUAAUAUCAAGAUUAGAAACAACAUAAAUAAAAUGUGAAGUUACAAAAUAUAUUUUACACAGAAGGUUAUUUGAAUCUAGAUCAGUAUGUAGCACAAGUAAUUACUGAUACAGAGGUUUUAACAUAAUGAAUUAGUAAGCAUUUGAAAAUGAAAAGAAUAAAAAUUAUACAAGAAAUAGAA
Long non-coding RNA from Rhincodon typus (whale shark), 1416 nucleotides. RefSeq lists it as uncharacterized. NCBI's taxonomy places the organism in Eukaryota, Metazoa, Chordata, Chondrichthyes, Orectolobiformes, Rhincodontidae. The record is from RefSeq and is a predicted model, not a curated record. The transcript is spliced from 3 exons.